Long non-coding RNA from Neofelis nebulosa (Clouded leopard), 396 nucleotides. RefSeq lists it as uncharacterized. Lineage: Eukaryota; Metazoa; Chordata; Mammalia; Carnivora; Felidae. The transcript is spliced from 3 exons. The record is from RefSeq and is a predicted model, not a curated record.
CCCCCGUUGUGCAUCUGCUGUUCCUGCCUUGGCUUGAUAUUCUGUCCACAACCUGUUCCCAGCUGUUUCCCAGCACAGCACCCUGAACGGCAUAGAUGCGUUUAACUGAACAGCAGUAGCUCUGUGAACUUAACAAAGAACACUGAGCAGUCAGGAUCGUUGCAUUGUUACAUUGGCGCUCCUUUUUGUUAAUGCUUCGAUCCCAUCGUAAUCUUACGGAGGACUUUCCUGUGUCUUUGGCUCUCCGAAUAACCUUGUGAAGGCGAUAGAGCAGAGUGACUCCUUGACCAAAUAAUUUUGAAUCGCUUGUAACUUUUCACCCUUGCAACUAAGUCCGUUAAUCACAAAAUGGUAAAUCAGAAGCCACAAAGAAGAACAUCAUCCAGGAAACUGGGG